GGUGAACGCUAGCUACAGGCUUAACACAUGCAAGUCGAGGGGUAACGAGAGGAAAGCUUGCUUUCCUUGUCGACGACCGGCGCACGGGUGAGUAACGCGUAUCCAACCUGCCCCCAACUAGGGAAUAACCUUGCGAAAGUAAGACUAAUACCCUAUAAUUUCCUCAGAUGUCAUCUGACGAGGAAUAAAGAUUUAUCGGUUGUGGAUGGGGAUGCGUCUGAUUAGCUUGUUGGCGGGGUAACGGCCCACCAAGGCAACGAUCAGUAGGGGUUAUGAGAGGAAGGUCCCCCACAUUGGAACUGAUACACGGUCCAAACUCCUACGGGAGGCAGCAGUGAGGAAUAUUGGUCAAUGGGCGGAAGCCUGAACCAGCCAAGUAGCGUGCAGGAUGACGGCCCUAUGGGUUGUAAACUGCUUUUAUACAGGAAUAAAGUUAGCCACGUGUGGUUAUUUGUAGGUACUGUAUGAAUAAGGACCGGCUAAUUCCGUGCCAGCCGCCGCCGUAA
RNAcentral lists this ribosomal RNA (506 nucleotides) under uncultured bacterium. Its description in RNAcentral is "partial 16S ribosomal RNA". It matches the Rfam family "Bacterial small subunit ribosomal RNA", at positions 28 to 523 of the family's 1533-position model. The record is from RNAcentral.